GCUGUCGCUGACGUUUUCGUCGUGCACGCCCAAAGCGCUCUCACACAUCCAUCUCACCCUUAUGUGCACCACCGCGUGGGUCCCCCCUUUUGAAGGGGGGGCUCGCGUUUUCAUACAAACUUGACGCAGUGUAGAAUGUCUUUAUAUUUUGCGAUCACACGCAAUCAAUACAACUUUCAACAACGGAUCUCUUGGCUCUCGCAUCGAUGAAGAACGCAGCGAAAUGCGAUACGUAAUGUGAAUUGCAGAAUUCAGUGAAUCAUCGAAUCUUUGAACGCACCUUGCGCCCCUUGGCAUUCCGAGGGGCACACCCGUUUGAGUGUCGUGAAAUUCUCAAAACCUUUUCUUUGGUCUUUCGACCGGGUUUAGCGUUUUGGACUUGGAGGCUUUUUGCUGGUUUCACCUUGAAGCGAGCUCCUCCUAAAUGGAUUAGCGGGGUCUGCUUUGCCGAUCCUUGACGUGAUAAGAUGUUUCUACGUCUCGGGUUUGGCACUGUCCCUUGGGCACCUGCUUCUAACCGUCUCAUCGACAAUGAUGGCGUUCCGGUCAC
This 550-nucleotide ribosomal RNA is filed under the name Russula consobrina. Its description in RNAcentral is "eukaryotic LSU rRNA". The stretch from base 172 to 325 matches the Rfam family "5.8S ribosomal RNA". Lineage: Eukaryota; Fungi; Basidiomycota; Agaricomycetes; Russulales; Russulaceae. The record is from RNAcentral.